RNAcentral lists this ribosomal RNA (460 nucleotides) under uncultured bacterium. RNAcentral's name for it is "partial 16S ribosomal RNA". It matches the Rfam family "Bacterial small subunit ribosomal RNA", at positions 338 to 795 of the family's 1533-position model. The record is from RNAcentral.
CCUACGGGAGGCAGCAGUGAGGAAUAUUGGUCAAUGGCCGUAAGGCUGAACCAGCCAAGUCGCGUGAAGGAAGAAGGAUCUAUGGUUUGUAAACUUCUUUUAUAGGGGAAUAAAGGUACCCACGUGUGGAUAUUUGAAUGUACCCUAUGAAUAAGCAUCGGAUAACGCCGGGCCAGCAGCCGCGGUAAUACGGAGGAUGCGAGCGUUAACCGGAUUGAUUGGGCUUAAAGGGUGCGUAGGUUGUAUUGUAAGUCAGCGGUGAAAGUUUAUGGCUCAACCCGAGAAGUGCCGUUGAAACUGGAAGACUGGAGUGUGUGUGAGGUAAGCGGAAUUCGAGGUGUAGCGGUGAAAUGCAUAGAUAUCACGCAGAACUCCGAUUGCGAAGGCAGCUUACUAAGCCAUAACUGACACUGAAGAACGAAAGCGUGGGGAUCAAACAGGAUUAGAUACCCGGGUAGUC